AAGUCGUAACAAGGUUUCCGUAGGUGAACCUGCAGAAGGAUCAUUAACACGUAUCCAAACGUUAAAACCCACCCCGUGAACCUUCAUCCUGCUCUUGUAACCGCGUAGUUCGCAAUCUCUGAUAAAUCAUAGCCCGGAAAGUUGUAGUGAUUCAGAGACCUCUGGCUACGUGCGAACAUUGGAACAGUUGCAAUCGAGCGGUAGUUCAAAAGGCAAUGUUUUCUCAAGCGGUCUACAGGAAUCGUAGAAGCGCUAUCCUUGCACAAUCAAUGACACCGUACACUCGGGCAGGAGCUUUGCCAAAGGGUCCCCAUGCCCCCUAAUAACCGUAAUAACCGAACAAACUGUUAACAAUGGAUAUCUUGGUUCUC
RNAcentral lists this unclassified non-coding RNA (371 nucleotides) under fungal sp. RNAcentral describes it as "partial internal transcribed spacer region". The stretch from base 1 to 46 matches the Rfam family "Eukaryotic small subunit ribosomal RNA", at positions 1786 to 1831 of the family's 1831-position model. The record is from RNAcentral. Lineage: Eukaryota; Fungi.